UACGCAGGUGGCAAGCGUUGUCCGGAUUUACUGGGCGUAAAGGGUGCGUAGGCGGACAUUUAAGUCAGAUGUGAAAUACCCGAGCUUAACUUGGGUGCUGCAUUUGAAACUGAGUGUCUAGAGUGCAGGAGAGGUAAGUGGAAUUCCUAGUGUAGCGGUGAAAUGCGUAGAGAUUAGGAAGAACACCAGUGGCGAAGGCGACUUACUGGACUGUAACUGACGCUGAGGCAUGAAAGCGUGGGGAGCAAACAGG
RNAcentral lists this ribosomal RNA (253 nucleotides) under uncultured bacterium. RNAcentral describes it as "partial 16S ribosomal RNA". It matches the Rfam family "Bacterial small subunit ribosomal RNA", at positions 524 to 776 of the family's 1533-position model. The record is from RNAcentral.